This 406-nucleotide ribosomal RNA is filed under the name uncultured bacterium. RNAcentral describes it as "partial 16S ribosomal RNA". It matches the Rfam family "Bacterial small subunit ribosomal RNA", at positions 30 to 526 of the family's 1533-position model. The record is from RNAcentral.
AUUGAACGCUGGCGGCAGGCCUAACACAUGCAAGUCGAACGAGUGGCGGACGGGUGUGAUAUGUCUGGGAAAUCGCCCGAUGGGGGGGGAUCACUACUGGAAACUGUCGCUAAUACCGCAUCCCCUGGGAUGUGCCCAGGUGGGUUUAGCUAGUAGGUGGGGUAACGGCUCACCUAGGCGACGAUCCCUAGCUGGUCUGAGAGGAUGACCAGCCACACUGGAACUGAGACACGGUCCAGACUCCUACGGGAGGCAGCAGUGGGGAAUAUUGCACAAUGGGCGCAAGCCUGAUGCAGCCAUGCCGCGUGUAUGAAGAAGGCCUUCGGGUUGUAAAGCACUUUCAGCGGGGAGGCGUUACCCGCAGAAGAAGCACCGGCUAACUCCGUGCCAGCCGCCGCGGUAAUUC